This 74-nucleotide transfer RNA is filed under the name Butyrivibrio sp. RNAcentral's name for it is "tRNA-Arg". It matches the Rfam family "tRNA". Rfam says of the family: Transfer RNA (tRNA) molecules are approximately 80 nucleotides in length. The record is from RNAcentral. Lineage: Bacteria; Bacillati; Bacillota; Clostridia; Lachnospirales; Lachnospiraceae. RNAcentral also lists the same sequence under 1 other name.
GUGUCUGUAGCUCAGUUGGAUAGAGCAACGGCCUUCUAAGCCGUGGGUCGCAGGUUCGAAUCCUGUCAGGCACA